Molecule: ribosomal RNA, 467 nt
Filed under: uncultured bacterium
Lineage: Bacteria
Description: partial 16S ribosomal RNA
Rfam family: Bacterial small subunit ribosomal RNA
Source: RNAcentral
ACGCACGCUGGCGGCGUGCUUAACACAUGCAAGUCGAACGGAAAGGCCCUGCUUUUGUGGGGUGCUCGAGUGGCGAACGGGUGAGUAACACGUGAGUAACCUGCCCUUGACUUUGGGAUAACUUCAGGAAACUGGGGCUAAUACCGGAUAGGAGCUCCUGCUGCAUGGUGGGGGUUGGAAAGUUUCGGCGGUUGGGGAUGGAUUCGCGGCUUAUCAGCUUGUUGGUGGGGUAGUGGCUUACCAAGGCUUUGACGGGUAGCCGGCCUGAGAGGGUGACCGGCCACAUUGGGACUGAGAUACGGCCCAGACUCCUACGGGAGGCAGCAGUGGGGAAUAUUGCACAAUGGGCGGAAGCCUGAUGCAGCAACGCCGCGUGCGGGAUGACGGCCUUCGGGUUGUAAACCGCUUUCGCCUGUGACGAAGCGUGAGUGACGGUAAUGGGUAAAGAAGCACCGGCUAACUACGUG